This 237-nucleotide ribosomal RNA is filed under the name Candidatus Endomicrobiellum cubanum. RNAcentral's name for it is "partial 23S ribosomal RNA". It matches the Rfam family "Bacterial large subunit ribosomal RNA", at positions 2677 to 2925 of the family's 2925-position model. Lineage: Bacteria; Pseudomonadati; Elusimicrobiota; Endomicrobiia; Endomicrobiales; Endomicrobiaceae. The record is from RNAcentral.
CUUAGUACGAGAGGACCGGAAUGAACAUACCUCUGGUGUUUCUGUUGUUCCGCCAGGAGCAUUGCAGAGUAGCCAAGUAUGGAUGAGAUAAACACUGAAAGCAUAUAAGUGUGAAACUCGCCUCAAGAUAAGGUUUCCCUGAAGGGCACUUGUAGACUACGAGUUUGAUAGGUUGGAAGUGGAAGUACAGUAAUGUAUGAAGCUAACCAAUACUAAUUGCCCGUUCGGCUUGGUCAC